GGUGUGAAAUCACAAUCGCUCUCAAGAUUAAGCCAUSCAUGUCUUAGUAUAAGCACUAUACGGUGAAACUGCGAAUGGCUCAUUAAAUCAGUUAUCGUUUAUUUGAUAGUACCUUACUACAUGGAUAACCGUGGUAAUUCUAGAGCUAAUACAUGCUAAAAACCUCGACUUCGGAAGGGGUGUAUUUAUUAGAUAAAAAACCAAUGCCCUUUCGGGGCUCCUUGGUGAAUCAUAAUAACUUAACGAAUCGCAUGGCCUUGCGCCGGCGAUGGUUCAUUCAAAUUUCUGCCCUAUCAACUUUCGAUGGUAGGAUAGUGGCCUACCAUGGUAUCAACGGGUAACGGGGAAUUAGGGUUCGACUCCGGAGAGGGAGCCUGAGAAACGGCUACCACAUCCAAGGAAGGCAGCAGGCGCGCAAAUUACCCAAUCCCGACACGGGGAGGUAGUGACAAUAAAUACUGAUACAGGGCUCUUUUGGGUCUUGUAAUUGGAAUGAGUACAAUUUAAAUCCCUUAACGAGGAACAAUUGGAGGGCAAGUCUGGUGCCAGCAGCCGCGGUAAUUCCAGCUCCAAUAGCGUAUAUUAAAGUUGUUGCAGUUAAAAAGCUCGUAGUUGAACCUUGGGCCUGGCUGGCCGGUCCGCCUCACCGCGUGUACUGGUCCGGCCGGGCCUUUCCUUCUGGGGAACCUCAUGCCCUUCACUGGGCGUGUUGGGGAACCAGGACUUUUACUUUGAAAAAAUUAGAGUGUUCAAAGCAGGCCUUUGCUCGAAUACAUUAGCAUGGAAUAAUAGAAUAGGACGUGUGGUUCUAUUUUGUUGGUUUCUAGGACCGCCGUAAUGAUUAAUAGGGAUAGUCGGGGGCAUCAGUAUUCAAUCGUCAGAGGUGAAAUUCUUGGAUUGAUUGAAGACUAACUACUGCGAAAGCAUUUGCCAAGGAUGUUUUCAUUAAUCAGUGAACGAAAGUUAGGGGAUCGAAGACGAUCAGAUACCGUCGUAGUCUUAACCAUAAACUAUGCCGACUAGGGAUCGGACGGUGUUAGUAUUUUGACCCGUUCGGCACCUUACGAGAAAUCAAAGUUUUUGGKUCUGGGGGGGAGUAUGGUCGACAAGGCUGAAACUUAAGAAUAUUGAUACUGAGGGCAGA
This 1144-nucleotide ribosomal RNA is filed under the name Cladosporium magnoliigena. RNAcentral describes it as "SSU rRNA". It matches the Rfam family "Eukaryotic small subunit ribosomal RNA", at positions 1 to 1180 of the family's 1831-position model. The record is from RNAcentral. Lineage: Eukaryota; Fungi; Ascomycota; Dothideomycetes; Cladosporiales; Cladosporiaceae.